UUUAGAUGAUUUGAAUUGAUAGCUGAGGCUCUGUGAGGAAUGACGAUUCAUAGGCAUGUUAAAGUUAUUAUGAAA
RNAcentral lists this small nucleolar RNA (75 nucleotides) under Cebus imitator (Panamanian white-faced capuchin). RNAcentral's name for it is "Small nucleolar RNA SNORD28 (ENSCCAG00000008715.1)". It matches the Rfam family "Small nucleolar RNA SNORD28". Rfam says of the family: U28 is a member of the C/D class of snoRNA which contain the C (UGAUGA) and D (CUGA) box motifs. The record is from Rfam by way of RNAcentral. Lineage: Eukaryota; Metazoa; Chordata; Mammalia; Primates; Cebidae.